GAUGAACGCUGGCGGCGUGCUUAACACAUGCAAGUCGAACGAUUAAAGCCCCUUCGGGGGUGUAUAGAGUGGCGAACGGGUGAGUAACACGUGGGCAAUCUGCCCCUCACUUCGGGAUAACUCAGGGAAACUUGAGCUAAUACCGAAUAUUCCAGGAUGGUCGCAUGGCCGACCUGGGAAAGCUCCGACGGUGAGGGAUGAGCCCGCGGCCCAUUAGCUUGUUGGUGAGGUAAUGGCUCACCAAGGCUGCGAUGGGUAGCCGCGCUGAGAGGCGGAUCGGGCCACACUGGGACUGAGACACGGCCCAGACUCCUACGGGUGGCAG
Molecule: ribosomal RNA, 325 nt
Filed under: uncultured Actinomycetes bacterium
Lineage: Bacteria; Bacillati; Actinomycetota; Actinomycetes
Description: bacterial SSU rRNA
Rfam family: Bacterial small subunit ribosomal RNA
Source: RNAcentral